RNAcentral lists this ribosomal RNA (433 nucleotides) under uncultured bacterium. RNAcentral describes it as "partial 16S ribosomal RNA". It matches the Rfam family "Bacterial small subunit ribosomal RNA", at positions 29 to 507 of the family's 1533-position model. The record is from RNAcentral.
AACGGACGCUGGCGGCAUGCCUAACACAUGCAAGUCGAACGAGACCUUCGGGUCUAGUGGCGCACGGGUGCGUAACGCGUGGGAACCUGCCCUUAGGUUCGGAAUAACUCCCCGAAAGGGGUGCUAAUACCGGAUAAUGUCUUCGGACCAAAGAUUUAUCGCCUUUGGAUGGGCCCGCGUUGGAUUAGCUAGUUGGUAGGGUAAAAGCCUACCAAGGCGACGAUCCAUAGCUGGUCUGAGAGGAUGAUCAGCCACACUGGGACUGAGACACGGCCCAGACUCCUACGGGAAGCAGCAGUGGGGAAUAUUGGACAAUGGGCGAAAGCCUGAUCCAGCAAUGCCGCGUGAGUGAUGAAGGCCUUAGGGUUGUAAAGCUCUUUUACCCGGGAUGAUAAUGACAGUACCGGGAGAAUAAGCUCCGGCUAACUCCGUG